CCUACGGGAGGCAGCAGUGGGGAAUAUUGCACAAUGGGGGAAACCCUGAUGCAGCGACGCCGCGUGAGGGAAGAAGUAAUUCGUUACGUAAAGCUCUAUCAGCAGGGAAGAAAAUGACGGUACCUGAGUGAGAAGCCUCCGCUAACUACGUUCCCGCAGCCGCGGGAAUACGUAGGGGACAAGCGUUAUCCGGGUUUACCGGGGGGAAAGGGGGCGGAGGCGGGGCGCGAAGUCUGGAGUGAAAUGCCACAGGGUAACUGCGGAACUGCAUUGGAAACUGGCAAACUAGAGUGAGGGAGGGGCAAGCGGAAUUCCUAGUGUAGCGGUGAAAUGCGUAGAUAUUAGGAGGAACACCAGUGGCGAAGGCGGCUUACUGGGCCGUAACUGACGUUGAGGCUCGAAAGCGUGGGGAGCAAACAGGAUUAGAUACCCCAGUAGUC
Molecule: ribosomal RNA, 440 nt
Filed under: uncultured bacterium
Lineage: Bacteria
Description: partial 16S ribosomal RNA
Rfam family: Bacterial small subunit ribosomal RNA
Source: RNAcentral